AUUGAACGCUGGCGGCAGGCCUAACACAUGCAAGUCGAGCGGAUGAAGGGAGCUUGCUCCUGGAUUCAGCGGCGGACGGGUGAGUAAUGCCUAGGAAUCUGCCUGGUAGUGGGGGAUAACGUCCGGAAACGGGCGCUAAUACCGCAUACGUCCUGAGGGAGAAAGUGGGGGAGCUUCGGACCUCACGCUAUCAGAUGAGCCUAGGUCGGAUUAGCUAGUUGGUGGGGUAAAGGCCUACCAAGGCGACGAUCCGUAACUGGUCUGAGAGGAUGAUCAGUCACACGGGAACUGAGACACGGUCCAGACUCCUACGGGAGGCAGCAGUGGGGAAUAUUGGACAAUGGGCGAAAGCCUGAUCCAGCCAUGCCGCGUGUGUGAAGAAGGUCUUCGGAUUGUAAAGCACUUUAAGUUGGGAGGAAGGGAAGUAAGUUAAUACCUUGCUGUUUUGACGUUACCAACAGAAUAAGCACCGGCUAACUUCGUG
Molecule: ribosomal RNA, 484 nt
Filed under: uncultured bacterium
Lineage: Bacteria
Description: partial 16S ribosomal RNA
Rfam family: Bacterial small subunit ribosomal RNA
Source: RNAcentral